GAACCAUAUUAGAGAUAUGCCAAUAUACAAUACCAACCGAUAAGUCAAUUGGCAUCAAUUGUUGCGCCAUGGCCCUUCGCUCAAUAAAAAAUCGACAUACUUGGUCCUUUUCCUCCGACAUCUGGUCAGAGAAAGUUCAUAGUGAUCGCCAUCGAUUACUUCACCAAAUGAGUAGAAGCUGAACCUCUAGUAUAAAUUAUUGAGAGCA
RNAcentral lists this long non-coding RNA (208 nucleotides) under Elaeis guineensis (African oil palm). Its description in RNAcentral is "long non-coding RNA (EGUI_LNC005880)". The record is from RNAcentral. Lineage: Eukaryota; Viridiplantae; Streptophyta; Magnoliopsida; Arecales; Arecaceae.